UGCCGCGUGUGUGAAGAAGGCCUUCGGGUUGUAAAGCACUUUUGUCCGGAAAGAAAUGGCUCUGGUUAAUACCUGGGGUCGAUGACGGUACCGGAAGAAUAAGGACCGGCUAACUACGUGCCAGCAGCCGCGGUAAUACGUAGGGUCCAAGCGUUAAUCGGAAUUACUGGGCGUAAAGCGUGCGCAGGCGGUUGUGCAAGACCGAUGUGAAAUCCCCGAGCUUAACUUGGGAAUUGCAUUGGUGACUGCACGGCUAGAGUGUGUCAGAGGGGGGUAGAAUUCCACGUGUAGCAGUGAAAUGCGUAGAGAUGUGGAGGAAUACCGAUGGCGAAGGCAGCCCCCUGGGAUAACACUGACGCUCAUGCACGAAAGCGUGGGGAGCAAACAGGAUUAGAUACCCUGGUAGUCCACGCCCUAAACGAUGUCAACUAGUUGUUGGGGAUUCAUUUCCUUAGUAACGUAGCUAACGCGUGAAGUUGACCGCCUGGGGAGUACGGUCGCAAGAUUAAAACUCAAAGGAAUUGACGGGGACCCGCACAAGCGGUGGAUGAUGUGGAUUAAUUCGAUGCAACGCGAAAAACCUUACCUACCCUUGACAUGCCACUAACGAAGCAGAGA
This 618-nucleotide ribosomal RNA is filed under the name Ralstonia sp. N4s_02. RNAcentral describes it as "bacterial SSU rRNA". It matches the Rfam family "Bacterial small subunit ribosomal RNA", at positions 395 to 1006 of the family's 1533-position model. Lineage: Bacteria; Pseudomonadati; Pseudomonadota; Betaproteobacteria; Burkholderiales; Burkholderiaceae. The record is from RNAcentral. RNAcentral also lists the same sequence under 11 other names.